This 1615-nucleotide long non-coding RNA is filed under the name Sorghum bicolor (sorghum). RNAcentral describes it as "long non-coding RNA (SBIC_LNC006472)". The record is from RNAcentral. Lineage: Eukaryota; Viridiplantae; Streptophyta; Magnoliopsida; Poales; Poaceae.
CCUGAACACUAUCCGGGCCGGAAAUCAGCCUGAUGUACGCGCUGUAUUGGUGAUGGUUGGGGAGAACGAUGAGGGUGCGGCGCGCAACCUUAGUAUACCUUGGAUACCUCAGUCGCCGAACGGUCCUCGGGUACGGGCGGUGCUUGUUGAAAACGCGGAUUGGUCCUAGAUAGUGUAAUACGGUGACCUGUAGCUUACUUGAUCAAUGAGUGUGGUUUGUGUGGGGAAUAACUCACCAGCUGGUCAGAAAUCGUUCGAAUCGCCAUCGCUCCUAGAUAGUGAGCACUUGACUUGAGCUUUGUCCUCAUAGUAAGGACUAUGAAACACUCUAGUUAUGGUAUGUGACGAAUGGAAAUGCUAUAUGACAUGGUACUAUCAUGUUUAAACAACUAUUUGCAAUAGUAUAGGUGCCAACUUAGACGGUAGGUAAUGAUACUUAACUGGAGCCAAAUAAAUGCAAUGGGUUCUUAGGAACAUACUUCUAGAUGGUUAAAGCUUUUACGUAACAAGGGUUGAGCUAUCCCACUAUACAGCCUUCAUGAUCCUUGAGAGUCUUUCAUUUCUAGUUCAUGAUGGUUAAGUCUAGCUGAGUACAUUCUCGUACUCAGGGUUCUAUUCUCAUGUUGUUUUGCAGAUGGGUAGAAAUACUAUGGGUAUUGCAUCAAAUGUUUGUACCCAGCAAUGGGUGAUAAUACACCAAGGGCUAUGGUCACUAUUCUCAUAUAUAUUUUUUUAUUUUAUUUUAUUUAUUUUUUUAGAAAAUGAUUAAGCUAGUUCGUAGUCAACUCAGCAACCGUUUCCCUGGCAAUGGCGCCAAAAAGCUUGUUGACACUUGCUAACACCACUUGAAUACUAGGUUGUUAUCCCCAGCAUGGCACUAGAGUGUACUAUGGUAUUUAUACGCACACAGAUAAAUCCGCAAGCGCACGGAUACCGUUGUAGCUUUUACCUGGUUAAAGGUUUUAUCGUAUCCACAGGGAAACGGGAGAACUGAUCUACGCUCUAACUUAUCCUAGAUAGAUAGGUAGGUGUAAAUAGGAAAGAUGGUAGAAUUGAAUAAGUACAAUAUUAAAGGUAAGAUAACAAUGGGUGAUAAUAUGGGAAUAGAGUGUAGAGCAAUCUAGUAUAUGGGCGAUGGUAGGAGAAUAGAGAGGGUAACUAUGGUUUCUCUACUUCAAAGGGGUAUGUCUAUGUCUGGGACGAACCACGUGAUAAGAAUACACCACAAAGGAUGCUUAUCCAUAGGCCGAUAAACCCUACCCGUCCUGCUAAGAGGAGGCGGACUACAGGGGACCAACGUAACUGCCACCUAUGCGGCCUACCACACGAUCCGACUAGACAGGGGAUAUCCACAAGUAAUCUAGGUCUAAGCACCACACUUACACCUAUACUACAACUCUAACCUAUAUGGUCCUAGAGAUUAAAAGUACUCAAAAUAGUUGUGAACCAGAACAUACAUGGAUAGUAAUUGCAUAAUGAAAUAGAAGUAAAUUACCAGAGUCAUCCCAUGAGCAAGCUUGAUUAGAGCUUGAUCAGGGUGAAGUACAACCGGAGGAAGAACCGACAGGCUGGCCUCUCCUCCAAUCCUCCCUCGCUCUCCGUCUCGCUACUAUCU